GGGGUCGACUGGUUUUGACAGCGAGUGGAAUUGAUUAGUAAGCACGUCGAGCUUUGUACUUUUAGCUCGUAAAUCCAAAGGUACGACCUUAUAAACGGCGAAAAUAAUUACGCUUUAGCUGCUUAAUCCGAAGUUUAGUACGAUUUGCCCAGUUCCUACAAGGUAGGAAAGCUGAAUUCACCUCAAAAGCCUUGGUUUGUGGCGGUUGGUUAUGGUGAACCGGAAAAAUAAACCUAGGAAAGGUAAUGCUUUAAAUCCUUUCUGACACUAAUAAAGCUAAGCAAAAAGUGGCUGUUUUUGGCCUGCCUUUUUGUCGAAAAAAUAAUCAAAAACUAAGCGUGUAGAAAGCUAUUUGAUUGCUUGUUUGGACCCGAGUUCGAUUCUCGGCGACUCCACCA
RNAcentral lists this transfer-messenger RNA (398 nucleotides) under Flavobacterium aciduliphilum. RNAcentral describes it as "Standard tmRNA". It matches the Rfam family "transfer-messenger RNA". From Rfam's summary of the family: Bacterial tmRNA, also known as 10Sa RNA or SsrA, is named for its dual tRNA and mRNA-like properties. Its role is to liberate the mRNA from a stalled ribosome. The record is from Rfam by way of RNAcentral. Lineage: Bacteria; Pseudomonadati; Bacteroidota; Flavobacteriia; Flavobacteriales; Flavobacteriaceae.